GCCUUUUUAGUAUAACAGUAUAUUUGGCUUCCAACCAGAAGGUCUAGAAUAACUCUAGAAAAGGCA
RNAcentral lists this transfer RNA (66 nucleotides) under Penaeus japonicus. RNAcentral describes it as "tRNA-Gly". It matches the Rfam family "tRNA". Rfam says of the family: Transfer RNA (tRNA) molecules are approximately 80 nucleotides in length. Their secondary structure includes four short double-helical elements and three loops (D, anti-codon, and T loops). The record is from RNAcentral. Lineage: Eukaryota; Metazoa; Arthropoda; Malacostraca; Decapoda; Penaeidae.